This is a non-coding RNA of Pelobates cultripes (western spadefoot toad), 323 nucleotides long. NCBI's taxonomy places the organism in Eukaryota, Metazoa, Chordata, Amphibia, Anura, Pelobatidae. The record is from the annotation of a GenBank genome assembly.
GGCCAAUCUAAAAUCGAUUGGAGUUUAAUGGGGUCCAUCCUAAAUCCGUCUCCAGAAAUAACGUAGCCAAGAAAGUUUAUCUGAGAUUGGUCGAAGCUACACUUUUCCAAUUUGCAGUACAAUCCAUGUUGUAACAGUUUGCGCAGUACCCUUCUGACUUGUCUGUGGUGAGUCUCAAUCUCUCUGGAGUGUAUUAGUAUAUCAUCCAAAUAUACUAUAACGCAUUCAUGCUGAAAUUCCCUAAGAACCUCAUUAAUAAGGUCCUGGAAUACUGCAGGUGCAUUGCAAAGCCCGAAGGGCAUUACCGUGUAUUCAUAGUGGCC